CCUACGGGAGGCAGCAGUGGGGAAUAUUGGACAAUGGGGGCAACCCUGAUCCAGCCAUGCCGCGUGUGUGAAUAAGGCCCUCGGGUUGUAAAGCACUUUCAGUGAGGAAGAACGCCUGUUGGUUAAUACCCAUCAGGAAAGACAUCACUCACAGAAGACGCACCGGCUAACUCCGUGCCAGCAGCCGCGGUAAUACGGAGGGUGCGAGCGUUAAUCGGAAUUACUGGGCGUAAAGCGCGCGUAGGUGGCUUGAUAAGCCGGUUGUGAAAGCCCCGGGCUCAACCUGGGAACGGCAUCCGGAACUGUCAAGCUAGAGUGCAGGAGAGGAAGGUAGAAUUCCCGGUGUAGCGGUGAAAUGCGUAGAGAUCGGGAGGAAUACCAGUGGCGAAGGCGGCCUUCUGGACUGACACUGACACUGAGGUGCGAAAGCGUGGGUAGCAAACAGGAUUAGAUACCCUGGUAGUC
Molecule: ribosomal RNA, 465 nt
Filed under: Vreelandella stevensii
Lineage: Bacteria; Pseudomonadati; Pseudomonadota; Gammaproteobacteria; Oceanospirillales; Halomonadaceae
Description: partial 16S ribosomal RNA
Rfam family: Bacterial small subunit ribosomal RNA
Source: RNAcentral